UAUUAAAAAUUUCAUCUAUUUCUAUUGUUAAAAAUUGAUAUAGUUGAUGGAAUAACUAAAAAUUACACGUUGUGCUUACGUAUAAAGACCAAUUUUUAACAAUAAAAAUGAAUGGAAUUUUUAAUU
Non-coding RNA from Gossypium raimondii (Peruvian cotton), 126 nucleotides. The record is from Rfam. Lineage: Eukaryota; Viridiplantae; Streptophyta; Magnoliopsida; Malvales; Malvaceae.